GGUGCAUUGCAAGUCGGCCAGGAUGCCACAAAGCUAUUGUUCAUCACGUCCUUUUUAGUAAGUAUUAUUAGAUACAUGUCCAUCAAUUAUUACUACUUAUUAUUAUCUUGUGAUCUUGUUCUAUAAUCACCUGUAUUACGCAGAUAGCCUUCCCAAUGAGUGAAGAUUGUUUUCAUAUGAGGUGUGCAAUUUUUAGUAAGAAAUAAAUUAUUUUUUUUAUUUAUUUAUUUUUGUAUGGUGAUAGUUUUGAGCUGCAACAUAUGAAGAAGCAGUUCCUACAUGUAUAUUUGAACCUUUGAUUCGACAAGAGGAGUCAGAGCUUUACUUAAUACAUAUGGUUUAUUUAGAGUUGUCUUAAUACGAAAACUAUUGCUAUUGCUACUCCACGUGUUACAAUUAUAGUGCAUAUACGUGCCGCCUCAAUUUCUUCACACGAGCCGUGCACUGCAUCGUCUUUAGCGUCAGGAGGGAGAGAAGGGUAGGGGUUUAGCUUUACGUUUCGUGGGGCACAUUUAUAUGAUGAGUGUAAUAUACUUUGUUUAAGAUUUUGUGAGAGAUUUUUCAAGACAUGCAACCCGUAUGACAGGGACUAAUAUUUAUAUAUAUACUCAAACCUGUGUACAAGAUAAUAUGGAGAUGCAGCAGAAUUUAUUCGUAGAUUUAUUGAUAUACAAAAUAAACAGAUAUCGGAGAUUUUUCUAGCCGAUAUAAAACAUUAUCUUAACUGUAUCACGAAAAUGUCUAUAGAGUAGAGUUUGUGAGUGUGAUGCCACGCUCUCCAUGACUAUAUUAAUUUCACGAACUUUGCCUUUUGAAUUAAAUGUCACUUUAAUAUUGGUAUUUAAUUUAUAAUAUUAUUAUCUUAUCGUGCGAUCCAUGUGUUUUUAGUAUAAAAAUUUAGUUAUCCCGUAGCAACGUACGGACACGCUACUUAUUUUAUAAAAAUUUGAACAAGCCUUUGUUUUCCACGGAACCGCGUCGUCCUACAAACGGGACGGAUCGGACACGUCGAUGGGACACUCGAGUGGCCGCCGGGUCCAGGGGUGUAGCCAAACUUUCGGCAUUGGUCGGCCGGCGGUAGGGGUUUUCCUUGGGAGGAACGGAAUCAACCGACGACUUGACCUCAUCCUCAUCUGGGAGUCUCGGUCAUGUUACUCCUCAGCUCAACUACUACUGCGCCUGCUACUCAUCGACUGUGCAUUGUUUAAAGUUACUAGAAAAUGAUUUUGCUAAGAGAACAAGAGCUGCAUGGACGAAUGCAUAUCAUCAUUCGGAUCAGAAUUUAUAAAGUCCUAUGAAACGUACAUAUGUGCUGUAACAGGAUGUGUAUAACUUUUACGAUAUUAUUAUUAUUAUUAUUAUUAUUAUUAUUAUUAUUAUUAUUAUUAUUAUUAUUAUUAUUAAAUUUAAUUAAACUUGGUACAAUAUUAAAUCAGAUAAAUUCUAAAGUCAUCUUUUUUGAGAAUUUUACUA
RNAcentral lists this long non-coding RNA (1473 nucleotides) under Sorghum bicolor (sorghum). RNAcentral describes it as "long non-coding RNA (SBIC_LNC015019)". Lineage: Eukaryota; Viridiplantae; Streptophyta; Magnoliopsida; Poales; Poaceae. The record is from RNAcentral.